Hippocampus comes (tiger tail seahorse) is the source of this 488-nucleotide long non-coding RNA. RefSeq lists it as uncharacterized. NCBI's taxonomy places the organism in Eukaryota, Metazoa, Chordata, Actinopteri, Syngnathiformes, Syngnathidae. The transcript is spliced from 3 exons. The record is from RefSeq and is a predicted model, not a curated record.
UAUUUUGGUGCGUUUUUGUUGUUGUGUGGUUAAACGCUGGUGCAAAAGUUGCUACACCUUGGCCAAGUGAAAAUGAUGAGGGUGGAGAACAAAGACCAAGAAAGUAAAAUAUGUUGAUUGAGGGUGGAGGAAAAGUGCCAACCUGGGAACCAAAAUGUUUUUUGUUGGUGCGGCAUGCCAAGUCUGGAAGGCAGCCAGGCCAGGUGACUCUGCCUUUUAUUGGUCGAAAUUUUCCAACACAGGUCCAUGAAGGCUGUGUCUAGCAGUGUGGGCAUGUCCUGCGGCGGGUAUUUAUUGACGGUGGCGGAGGUUGUCAGGCAUCUUUAAGCUCUGCGGUCAUGGAUACGCCGAUGCUAACCUUCACCGUGUUGCUACUGCUGCGGAUGAUCACAGAAUGCGGAGGGCAACUAGCGUGCGGUCAAGCGCCUCUCAACAAUGGCAAUCCGGGGGCCACCCCAGGUGCGUGGCCCUGGCAGGUCAGCCUGCAC